AGCUGUGCCAAGAAUCCAGCACAGUUUAUAGAAGGUAACCGGGUUAUAAGCCAACAGUGUAUUUCAGCAACAAAAAUCCUUCGGCAAAGAAAGUGGAAGCCUUGACAGACUGAACAAACUGAGAAACAAGGGACCAAAUGCGAAGUUGGGGCUGGGCACCAAUGAGUCAGUCAGACCAAAGUGCUUCUCAAGGAAGAUCCCACGAAGAGUCAGCUCUGAAGAAGACAAAAAUCAAAAUGUUUAAUGCACCAUCUAUGUUCUUUCGGGAGUCUCAAAAUUGUAUUGUCAAGUGCUUGAGUGGUGAGUGCAUAAAGGAAUGAGUCUGAUAGCCUCUACAAGUAAGCCUGCCCUUCUGUAUACAUCACUAUUGGACACUUGAUGAAGUUUGCACUGACGCAAUGGUGAGUCCGCUGAUAAGAGAAAGUUGCUGUCACUGGAGUCGGUGGAGCCUGUUGUACCCACAAUCUGAUGAAUUCGGUUCUUUGUUACAGCUGUAAUAUGAUACAGAAAAUAAAAAAAUAGUGUGACUUCUAAAGUAAUUUAAUGCUUUUUAGUGUUUCAGGGUCAAAUGGCCC
Lepisosteus oculatus (spotted gar) is the source of this 575-nucleotide long non-coding RNA. RefSeq lists it as uncharacterized. Lineage: Eukaryota; Metazoa; Chordata; Actinopteri; Semionotiformes; Lepisosteidae. The record is from RefSeq and is a predicted model, not a curated record.